Cyprinodon tularosa is the source of this 503-nucleotide long non-coding RNA. RefSeq lists it as uncharacterized. The transcript has 3 exons. NCBI's taxonomy places the organism in Eukaryota, Metazoa, Chordata, Actinopteri, Cyprinodontiformes, Cyprinodontidae. The record is from RefSeq and is a predicted model, not a curated record.
GUGGAGGGGAUAGGGCGCCGAUGGGUGAGAGGCGGGGUGGCGCUCCCCGGUGGAGUGGGCAGUUUUUAGGGUGGUACAAGUAGCAUGUGGGGAGAGGGGGGAGCUCUUUGGACAUUCUAGCCUUAAUACUGCUUUCGUCGGCAUGGGAGCGCCUCUCUGAAUACAGAGAAUCAGCAUUGAUGCUGUCAGAGUAAGUCAUCAUGACUUCUAUGUUCUUAUACGGGGUGGUGCAUCCCUGCGCCCCGGAGGUGCCACUAAACAAAGCGUGGGUGUUGCUUUGCUUCUCAGAGUCUCUGCUGUAAAUAAUCAGGAGAGUCUGCACCAUAACCAGCCAGGGAAUCCUUAAAUCCAGAGCCCACAAGAGAGCUGGAGUCGUCUCUGUGGAUACAAGUUUGUUUUCAAAUGGUUUCCUGCUGACUGAACCUGGACCAGCAAAUGGACUGAUCCGAUGUGGUGGACACUGGGAGGGCACUUAAUAUUAUAAGCAUUCUGAUGGCAUUUUA